This 921-nucleotide ribosomal RNA is filed under the name Stappia carboxidovorans. Its description in RNAcentral is "bacterial SSU rRNA". It matches the Rfam family "Bacterial small subunit ribosomal RNA", at positions 96 to 1054 of the family's 1533-position model. The record is from RNAcentral. Lineage: Bacteria; Pseudomonadati; Pseudomonadota; Alphaproteobacteria; Hyphomicrobiales; Stappiaceae.
UGGCAGACGGGUGAGUAACGCGUGGGAACCUACCUUUCGGUACGGAACAACAGUUGGAAACGACUGCUAAUACCGUAUGCGCCCUACGGGGGAAAGAUUUAUCGCCGAGAGAUGGGCCCGCGUUGGAUUAGCUAGUUGGUGGGGUAAUGGCCUACCAAGGCGACGAUCCAUAGCUGGUCUGAGAGGAUGAUCAGCCACACUGGGACUGAGACACGGCCCAGACUCCUACGGGAGGCAGCAGUGGGGAAUAUUGGACAAUGGGGGCAACCCUGAUCCAGCCAUGCCGCGUGAGUGAUGAAGGCCCUAGGGUUGUAAAGCUCUUUCAGCGAGGAGGAUAAUGACGUUACUCGCAGAAGAAGCCCCGGCUAACUUCGUGCCAGCAGCCGCGGUAAUACGAAGGGGGCUAGCGUUGUUCGGAAUCACUGGGCGUAAAGCGCACGUAGGCGGACUUUUAAGUCAGGGGUGAAAUCCCGGAGCUCAACUCCGGAACUGCCUUUGAUACUGGAAGUCUUGAGUCCGAGAGAGGUGAGUGGAACUCCGAGUGUAGAGGUGAAAUUCGUAGAUAUUCGGAAGAACACCAGUGGCGAAAGCGGCUCACUGGCUCGGUACUGACGCUGAAGUGCGAAAGCGUGGGGAGCAAACAGGAUUAGAUACCCUGGUAGUCCACGCCGUAAACGAUGGAAGCUAGCCGUCAGGUAGCAUGCUAUUUGGUGGCGCAGCUAACGCAUUAAGCUUCCCGCCUGGGGAGUACGGUCGCAAGAUUAAAACUCCAAGGAAUUGACGGGGGCCCGCACAAACGGUGGAGCAUGUGGGUUAAUUCGAAGCAACGCGCAGAAACUUAUCAACCCUUGACAUUUGGGGUUACCUCCCAAGAUGGAGGGUUCCCUUCGGGGACGCCAGAACAGUGCUGCAUGGCUGUCG